CAGUAGCCGCGGUAAUACGGAGGGUGCAAGCGUUACUCGGAAUUACUGGGCGUAAAGCGUGCGUAGGUGGUGGUUUAAGUCCGUUGUGAAAGCCCUGGGCUCAACCUGGGAAUUGCAGUGGAUACUGGGUCACUAGAGUGUGGUAGAGGAUAGUGGAAUUUCCGGUGUAGCAGUGAAAUGCGUAGAGAUCGGAAGGAACAUCUGUGGCGAAGGCGACUAUCUGGGCCAACACUGACACUGAGGCACGAAAGCGUGGGGAGCAAACAGGAUUAGAUACCCCCGUAGUCCCUGUCUCUUAUAC
RNAcentral lists this ribosomal RNA (301 nucleotides) under uncultured bacterium. RNAcentral's name for it is "partial 16S ribosomal RNA". It matches the Rfam family "Bacterial small subunit ribosomal RNA", at positions 509 to 807 of the family's 1533-position model. The record is from RNAcentral.